ACUUGCCUCUAGGCGGGGGACAACCACUGGAAACGGUGGCUAAUACCGCAUAAUGUCUACGGACCAAAGUGGGGGACCUUCGGGCCUCACACCUAGAGAUGGGCCCAAGCGGGAUUAGCUAGUUGGCGAGGUAAUGGCUCACCAAGGCGACGAUCCCUAGCUGUUCUGAGAGGAUGAUCAGCCACACUGGGACUGAGACACGGCCCACACUCCUACGGGAGGCAGCAGUGGGGAAUAUUGGACAAUGGGGGCAACCCUGAUCCAGCCAUGCCGCGUGUGUGAAGAAGGCCUUCGGGUUGUAAAGCACUUUCAGUGGGGAGGAAAGGGUAGUUAUUAAUACUAACUACAGUUGACGUUAGCCACAGAAGA
RNAcentral lists this ribosomal RNA (369 nucleotides) under marine sediment bacterium BB0608_2216_2.2_6G0. Its description in RNAcentral is "bacterial SSU rRNA". It matches the Rfam family "Bacterial small subunit ribosomal RNA", at positions 124 to 488 of the family's 1533-position model. The record is from RNAcentral.